UCGAGGGGCAGCGGGGGUAGCGAUACCCGCCGGCGACCGGCGCACGGGUGAGUAACGCGUAUGCAACUUACCUAUCAGAGGGGGAUAACCCGGCGAAAGUCGGACUAAUACCGCAUAAAGCAGGGGCCCCGCAUGGGGAUAUUUGCUAAAGAUUCAUCGCUGAUAGAUAGGCAUGCGUUCCAUUAGGCAGUUGGCGGGGUAACGGCCCACCAAACCGACGAUGGAUAGGGGUUCUGAGAGGAAGGUCCCCCACGUUGGUACUGAGACACGGACCAAACUCCUACGGGAGGCAGCAGUGAGGAAUAUUGGUCAAUGGGCGUAAGCCUGAACCAGCCAAGUCGCGUGAGGGAUGAAGGUUCUAUGGAUCGUAAACCUCUUUUAUAAGGGAAUAAAGUGCGGGACGUGUCCCGUUUUGUAUGUACCUUAUGAAUAAGGAUCGGCUAACUCCGUGCCAGCAGCCGCGGUAAUACGGAGGAUCCGAGCGUUAUCCGGAUUUAUUGGGUUUAAAGGGUGCGUAGGCGGCCUUUUAAGUCAGCGGUGAAAGUCUGUGGCUCAACCAUAGAAUUGCCGUUGAAACUGGGGGGCUUGAGUAUGUUUG
Molecule: ribosomal RNA, 598 nt
Filed under: uncultured bacterium
Lineage: Bacteria
Description: bacterial SSU rRNA
Rfam family: Bacterial small subunit ribosomal RNA
Source: RNAcentral